GGGGUUAUAGCUCAGUGGUACAGCACUUGCCUCUCAUGCAUGAGGCCCUUUGGUUGGAUCCUUAGCACCA
RNAcentral lists this transfer RNA (70 nucleotides) under Marmota marmota marmota (Alpine marmot). It matches the Rfam family "tRNA". Rfam says of the family: Transfer RNA (tRNA) molecules are approximately 80 nucleotides in length. Lineage: Eukaryota; Metazoa; Chordata; Mammalia; Rodentia; Sciuridae. RNAcentral also lists the same sequence under 1 other name. The record is from Rfam by way of RNAcentral.